Clupea harengus (Atlantic herring) is the source of this 1318-nucleotide long non-coding RNA. NCBI's taxonomy places the organism in Eukaryota, Metazoa, Chordata, Actinopteri, Clupeiformes, Clupeidae. The record is from Ensembl.
UGGAGACCCAAGAUGGAGUGGUGUUUUGCCCGUUUUGUGGCAAACAUAUGAGCCGAUUAACGUGAUUUAGUUUUUCGUGUGGUCAGUCUGUAGAGUUUUUAAAUGGCGCAGACCAGACGGAAGGACCAAGCGCACAGGGGGCAUCUCAACAGCCGGAUAAUGCUAAACAAACAGAAUAACCUUGCCCAUCAUAUAAACAGUUCCUGGAGUACAGAGGCUCAAAGUCCAAAGAGCGUCAGUCUUUUAACUAUGGGCCGAGAGGAAAACAUCGGGCUAAAGAACGAAAACACGUCCAGUGGAUGAUACCUCAGACUCUGAUUCUGAAAUUGUCAUCGCAUCAAGGAGCACAGCUGAAUUAAAUCGAGCUGACACAGUGGUACAUCAAUUAUUUAUGUAUUGAUGUAUUUAUUGAUUUAUCUUUGACAAUACUGACAACCUUUCACCAUUGAUAUAUAUAAUGUAUGUGGUAAGGGAACAGUUAUGAAAGCUAUUACAAAUUGUUGAUAAAUGAAUGCGUUUCCUGUCAGGUUUUUUAACCAAAAAAUCAAAGUACUCCCAAACACAAACCUGAAGAUGAAAGGUAGGUACAUUUUGGCAUCUAGCCUUUGUCACGGAGUCAAACAUUUUUAAUGAGGUCCUUUUCUAGUGGUAAUCAACCAAUAGGAAUCUUGCCUGUAUUCGUUUACAUUCUUAGAUGACUAUUGUAGGCCUGAAGAACAGUAAUAAUUAAUGUAGUAAUUGUAUUAUUUUUAUCAUGUUUUAGAGAUGUAUCGGGACAUUCAGCAACAAUUCGGCCUGGUCAGAUAGUAAUAUCUGAUGCUGAGGAUAUGGAUCCAUCUGAAACAAAGAGACUUGCUAAAGUAAAUACACGGACCUGUAUGCACCAGGUGUUGAGGAAGAGGAUGAGGAGCUGGUUGCAGUCAAUGUGGAGAAUUUCCAACACACAGCAGUGGAGGAGAUGGACAUUACACUACCUGACAUUGUAGCAAACCUGUCGCUUCCUAUUGAUCACAAAAGAGUCAGCAGUUUCAACAUCUCAAGGGCUGAUGUUUGGGAUGGAGCUGUCAGAGGUUUCAAGUGUAAAACAUAUUCUGAAACCUGUGACAUGCUGGUCUGAUUUACUGAUGAUGCUGGUGUUUUUGAGGAGGGAAUUGACACAGGUAGUCCAAGACGAGACUUUUUAACUUUGCUAAUGAAACACCUGAAAGACCGGCCCAUUUUUGAUGGACCAGAAGGACAUCGGUUCUUGGUCUACAAUGCAAAUGGUAUGCAUAGGGUUAGAUGUGUGCUAUACUAAUGGUUGGUUAAUGAUCAUUAA